This 301-nucleotide ribosomal RNA is filed under the name uncultured bacterium. Its description in RNAcentral is "partial 16S ribosomal RNA". It matches the Rfam family "Bacterial small subunit ribosomal RNA", at positions 509 to 807 of the family's 1533-position model. The record is from RNAcentral.
CAGCAGCCGCGGUAAUACGGAGGGUGCAAGCGUUAAUCGGAAUUACUGGGCGUAAAGCGCACGCAGGCGGUUUGUUAAGUCAGAUGUGAAAUCCCCGGGCUCAACCUGGGAGCUGCAUCUGAUACUGGCAAGCUUGAGUCUCGUAGAGGGGGGUAGAAUUCCAGGUGUAGCGGUGAAAUGCGUAGAGAUCUGGAGGAAUACCGGUGGCGAAGGCGGCCCCCUGGACGAAGACUGACGCUCAGGUGCGAAAGCGUGGGGAGCAAACAGGAUUAGAUACCCCGGUAGUCCCUGUCUCUUAUAC